This 555-nucleotide ribosomal RNA is filed under the name uncultured bacterium. RNAcentral describes it as "partial 16S ribosomal RNA". It matches the Rfam family "Bacterial small subunit ribosomal RNA", at positions 355 to 920 of the family's 1533-position model. The record is from RNAcentral.
UGGGGAAUAUUGCACAAUGGGCGCAAGCCUGAUGCAGCGACGCCGCGUGAGGGAUGACGGCCUUCGGGUUGUAAACCUCUUUCAAUAGGGACGAAGCGCAAGUGACGGUACCUAUAGAAGAAGGACCGGCCAACUACGUGCCAGCAGCCGCGGUAAUACGUAGGGUCCGAGCGUUGUCCGGAAUUACUGGGCGUAAAGAGCUCGUAGGUGGUUUGUCGCGUUGUUCGUGAAAACUCACAGCUUAACUGUGGGCGUGCGGGCGAUACGGGCAGACUAGAGUACUGCAGGGGAGACUGGAAUUCCUGGUGUAGCGGUGGAAUGCGCAGAUAUCAGGAGGAACACCGGUGGCGAAGGCGGGUCUCUGGGCAGUAACUGACGCUGAGGAGCGAAAGCGUGGGGAGCGAACAGGAUUAGAUACCCUGGUAGUCCACGCCGUAAACGGUGGGUACUAGGUGUGGGUUUCCUUCCUUGGGAUCCGUGCCGUAGCUAACGCAUUAAGUACCCCGCCUGGGGAGUACGGCCGCAAGGCUAAAACUCAAAUGAAUUGACGGGGUC